Molecule: ribosomal RNA, 508 nt
Filed under: uncultured fungus
Lineage: Eukaryota; Fungi
Description: eukaryotic LSU rRNA
Rfam family: 5.8S ribosomal RNA (bases 167-320)
Source: RNAcentral
UUUCCGUAGGUGAACCUGCGGAAGGAUCAUUAAUAGUGCCCUCUGAUGCAAAUCAUUGGGUUAGAUCUGCUCUCUUCGCAAGAAGAGGGUUUCCAUACACACCGUGAACUGUGGCUUCGGCCAUCACAAACUGUUAGUAAUGAAUGUAAUAUCAUAACAAAAACAAAACUUUUAACAACGGAUCUCUUGGCUCUCGCAUCGAUGAAGAACGCAGCGAAAUGCGAUAAGUAAUGUGAAUUGCAGAAUUCAGUGAAUCAUCGAAUCUUUGAACGCACCUUGCGCCCUUUGGUAUUCCGAAGGGCAUGCCUGUUUGGGUGUCAUGAAACCUCACCCCACUUGGGUUUUUGCCUGAGCGGUGGUGUAUUGGGUGUUGCCUUGCUAAAGGCUCGCCUUAAAGACAUAAGCACCUUGGAUGUAAUACGUUUCAUCCUUCUGGGUGGCUGAUAACCCCACAUAUUCAUGAUCUGGCCUCAAAUCAGGUAGGGCUACCCGCUGAACUUAAGCAUAU